Molecule: ribosomal RNA, 245 nt
Filed under: uncultured Desulfatiglans sp.
Lineage: Bacteria; Pseudomonadati; Thermodesulfobacteriota; Desulfobacteria; Desulfatiglandales; Desulfatiglandaceae
Description: partial 16S ribosomal RNA
Rfam family: Bacterial small subunit ribosomal RNA
Source: RNAcentral
UACGGAGGGUGCAAGCGUUGUUCGGAAUUAUUGGGCGUAAAGCGCGUGCAGGCGGCUUGGUAAGUCAGAUGUGAAAGCCCUGAGCUCAACUCAGGAAGUGCAUUUGAAACUACCAUGCUUGAGUAUGGGAGAGGAGAGUGGAAUUCCCAGUGUAGAGGUGAAAUUCGUAGAUAUUGGGAGGAACACCCGUGGCGUAGGCGACUCUCUGGACCAAUACUGACGCUGAGACGCGAAAGCGUGGGGAG